RNAcentral lists this ribosomal RNA (851 nucleotides) under Pediococcus sp. MUU3. Its description in RNAcentral is "bacterial SSU rRNA". It matches the Rfam family "Bacterial small subunit ribosomal RNA", at positions 30 to 873 of the family's 1533-position model. The record is from RNAcentral. Lineage: Bacteria; Bacillati; Bacillota; Bacilli; Lactobacillales; Lactobacillaceae.
CGCACUUUCGUUGAAUGAAUUAGAGGUGCUUGCACCGAAGAUGAUUUUAGCUAUAAAGUGAGUGGCGAACGGGUGAGUAACACGUGGGUAACCUGCCCAGAAGUGGGGGAUAACACCUGGAAACAGAUGCUAAUACCGCAUAACAAAGUAAACCGCAUGGUUUACUUUUAAAAGAUGGCUUCGGCUAUCACUUCUGGAUGGACCCGCGGCGUAUUAGCUAGUUGGUGAGAUAAAGGCUCACCAAGGCAGUGAUACGUAGCCGACCUGAGAGGGUAAUCGGCCACAUUGGGACUGAGACACGGCCCAGACUCCUACGGGAGGCAGCAGUAGGGAAUCUUCCACAAUGGACGAAAGUCUGAUGGAGCAACGCCGCGUGAGUGAUGAAGGCUUUAGGGUCGUAAAACUCUGUUGUUGGAGAAGAACGUGUGUGAGAGUAACUGCUCAUGCAGUGACGGUAUCCAACCAGAAAGCCACGGCUAACUACGUGCCAGCAGCCGCGGUAAUACGUAGGUGGCAAGCGUUAUCCGGAUUUAUUGGGCGUAAAGCGAGCGCAGGCGGUCUUUUAAGUCUAAUGUGAAAGCCUUCGGCUUAACCGAAGAAGUGCAUUGGAAACUGGAAGACUUGAGUGCAGAAGAGGACAGUGGAACUCCAUGUGUAGCGGUGAAAUGCGUAGAUAUAUGGAAGAACACCAGUGGCGAAGGCGGCUGUCUGGUCUGUAACUGACGCUGAGGCUCGAAAGCAUGGGUAGCGAACAGGAUUAGAUACCCUGGUAGUCCAUCCGUAAACGAUGAAUGCUAAGUGUUGGGGGUUCCGCCCUUCAGUGCUGCAGCUAACGCAUUAAGCAUUCCGCC